UCCGUAGGCGGUCUUAUAAGUCAGUGGUGAAAUCCCAUCGCUCAACGAUGGAACUGCCAUUGAUACUGUAGGACUUGAAUGCUUAGGAAGUUACUAGAAUAUGUAGUGUAGCGGUGAAAUGCUUAGAUAUUACAUGGAAUACCAAUUGCGAAGGCAGGUUACUACUAAGUGAUUGACGCUGAGGCACGAAAGUGUGGGGAUCAAACAGGAUUAGAUACCCCAGUA
This 225-nucleotide ribosomal RNA is filed under the name uncultured Flavobacterium sp. RNAcentral describes it as "partial 16S ribosomal RNA". It matches the Rfam family "Bacterial small subunit ribosomal RNA", at positions 568 to 792 of the family's 1533-position model. The record is from RNAcentral. Lineage: Bacteria; Pseudomonadati; Bacteroidota; Flavobacteriia; Flavobacteriales; Flavobacteriaceae.